RNAcentral lists this ribosomal RNA (468 nucleotides) under uncultured bacterium. RNAcentral's name for it is "partial 16S ribosomal RNA". It matches the Rfam family "Bacterial small subunit ribosomal RNA", at positions 28 to 507 of the family's 1533-position model. The record is from RNAcentral.
GACGAACGCUGGCGGCGUGCUUAACACAUGCAAGUCGAACGGAAAGGCCCUGCUUUUGUGGGGUGCUCGAGUGGCGAACGGGUGAGUAACACGUGAGUAACCUGCCCUUGACUUUGGGAUAACUUCAGGAAACUGGGGCUAAUACCGGAUAGGAGCUCCUGCUGCAUGGUGGGGGUUGGAAAGUUUCGGCGGUUGGGGAUGGACUCGCGGCUUAUCAGCUUGUUGGUGGGGUAGUGGCUUACCAAGGCUUUGACGGGUAGCCGGCCUGAGAGGGUGACCGGCCACAUUGGGACUGAGAUACGGCCCAGACUCCUACGGAAGGCAGCAGUGGGGAAUAUUGCACAAUGGGCGGAAGCCUGAUGCAGCAACGCCGCGUGCGGGAUGACGGCCUUCGGGUUGUAAGCCGCUUUCGCCUGUGACGAAGCGUGAGUGACGGUAAUGUGUAAAGAAGCACCGGCUAACUACGUG